Molecule: unclassified non-coding RNA, 1351 nt
Filed under: Hevea brasiliensis (rubber tree)
Lineage: Eukaryota; Viridiplantae; Streptophyta; Magnoliopsida; Malpighiales; Euphorbiaceae
Source: RNAcentral
UACUACUACCCACCAUAGAUCGAAUCAAGAAGAGCUAAUUUCAUCUUCUCCAAUCUAAAAUCGAUAACCCCAGAAAGAUUUACAGUAAAUCUUGGAGAAAAAAUGAAACCCCAUGAAAAAUGAUGAAGUAUUGAAGAAGUUUGAACGAAAUCUAAGAGUGUGUAGAGAAUUGGACAUUUAGGGAAGUGGGUGUGAUUGAAAAUCAAGCAAAAUAGGAAUCUGUUUUUCAGGACCGAAAGGGGGCGGCGGCAAAGGCUCUGAACCACAAGCAAUUGUGGUUCAGAGGCUGUCGUCCCCAAUUCAAGCAGUAACAGCAGUAGCUGCUUCGUCGUUUAGGGAGAAUAGUUUUGGUGCUGGUGAUAGUACGAAGAUGAAGGGUUUAUUUAAGUCUAAGCCCAAGACUCCUGUUGACCUUGUUCGUCAGACUCGUGAACUUCUUAUGUAUGUUGAACGGGUUAAUGAUACUCGUGAAGGCAAAAGAGAAGAAAAGAUGAUGGAGUUAAGCAAGACAAUGCGGGACUUGAAGUGCGUUCUUUACGGGAAUGGUCAAUCAGAACCUGUCUCUGAUGCAUGUUCUCAGCUGACUCAAGAAUUCUUUAGAGAAGACACCCUACGGCUGCUGAUUAAUAUGCUUCCAAAACUGAAUUUAGAGGCUCGGAAAGAUGCUACUCAAGUAGUUGCAAAUCUGCAAAGACAACAGGUUCAAUCGCGGUUGAUUGCUUGUGAUUACUUGGAAGCAAACAUUGAUCUGAUGGAUAUAUUAGUAGCAGGGUAUGAGAAUAUAGAACUGGCUUUGCAUUAUGGUACAAUGCUAAGGGAAUGCAUUCGACACCAGAGUGUUGCAAGGUAUGUCUUGGAAUCAGAGCAUGUGAAGAAGUUUUUUGAUUAUAUUCAGCUGCCAAAUUUUGAUAUUGCUGCUGAUGCUGCCGCCACCUUUAAGGAACUCUUGACAAGGCACAAAUCAACAGUAGCUGAAUUUCUUUCGAAGAACUAUGACUGGUUUUUCACAGAGUAUAACUCAAAGCUGCUCGAGUCUAGUAACUACAUCACCAGAAGACAAGCUGUCAAGCUCUUGGCAGAUAUGUUGUUGGACCGCUCAAAUUCUGCUGUAAUGACACGUUAUGUUAGUUCAAGAGACAACUUGAGGAUUCUCAUGAAUCUGCUCAGGGAGUCAAGCAAGAGUAUCCAGAUAGAAGCAUUCCAUGUUUUCAAGUUAUUUGCUGCAAACAAGAACAAGCCUUCAGAUAUUGUUAGCAUCCUCAUCGCAAAUAGAAGCAAGCUUCUGCGCCUCUUUGCCGAUUUCAAGACUGACAAAGAGGAUGAGCAAUUUGAGGCUGACAAAGCACAAGUU